CUAACAAGGAUUCCCCUAGUAACUGCGAGUGAAGCGGGAAAAGCUCAAAUUUAAAAUCUGGCGGUCUUCGGCCGUCCGAGUUGUAGUCUGGAGAAGUGUUUUCCGCGUUGGACCGUGUACAAGUUUCCUGGAACGGAGCGUCAUAGAGGGUGAGAAUCCCGUCUUUGACACGGACCCCAAUGCUUUGUGAUGCGCUCUCAAAGAGUCGAGUUGUUUGGGAAUGCAGCUCAAAAUGGGUGGUGAAUUCCAUCUAAAGCUAAAUAUUGGCGAGAGACCGAUAGCGAACAAGUACCGUGAGGGAAAGAUGAAAAGCACUUUGGAAAGAGAGUUAAACAGUACGUGAAAUUGUUGAAAGGGAAACGCUUGAAGUCAGUCGCGUCGUCCGGGACUCAGCCUUGCUUCCGCUUGGUGUACUUUCCGGUCGACGGGCCAGCAUCAAUUUUGACCGCGAGAUAAAGUCAGAGGAAAUGUGGCUCUUUCGGGAGUGUUAUAGUCCUUUGUCGCAUGUCGCGGUUGGGAUUGAGGAAUUCAGCACGCCUUUAUGCCGGGGUUCGCCCACGUUCGUGCUUAGGAUGCUGGCGUAAUGGCUUUAAACGACCCGUCUUGAAACACGGACCAAGGAGUCUAACAUGCCUGCGAGUGUUCGGGUGGAAAACCCGUGCGCACAAUGAAAGUGAAAGUUGGGAACCCUGUCGUGGGGUGCACCGACGCCCGGACCAGAACUUCUGUGACGGAUCUGCGGUAGAGCAUGUAUGUUGGGACCCGAAAGAUGGUGAACUAUGCCUGAAUAGGGUGAAGCCAGAGGAAACUCUGGUGGAGGCUCGUAGCGAUUCUGACGUGCAAAUCGAUCGUCAAAUUUGGGUAUAGGGGCGAAAGA
This 877-nucleotide ribosomal RNA is filed under the name Stereodiscus limonisporus. RNAcentral's name for it is "Aleurodiscus limonisporus partial 28S ribosomal RNA". It matches the Rfam family "Eukaryotic large subunit ribosomal RNA", at positions 65 to 930 of the family's 3401-position model. The record is from RNAcentral. Lineage: Eukaryota; Fungi; Basidiomycota; Agaricomycetes; Russulales; Stereaceae.